GGUGAGAUGGCCGAGCGGUCUAAGGCGCCAGGUUCAGGUUCUGAACCAUACUUCCUGGUCAAGAAAUUGGCGUGGGUUCGAAUCCCACUCUCAUCA
Molecule: non-coding RNA, 96 nt
Organism: Periconia macrospinosa
Lineage: Eukaryota; Fungi; Ascomycota; Dothideomycetes; Pleosporales; Periconiaceae
Source: the annotation of a GenBank genome assembly